Sphaeramia orbicularis (orbiculate cardinalfish) is the source of this 221-nucleotide long non-coding RNA. RefSeq lists it as uncharacterized. The transcript has 2 exons. The record is from RefSeq and is a predicted model, not a curated record. NCBI's taxonomy places the organism in Eukaryota, Metazoa, Chordata, Actinopteri, Kurtiformes, Apogonidae.
AAGACACAGGGUUUAAAUACACAAGAGGGAGGAAGACAACCAGACACAGGUGGAACACAUCAGGGUGGAGUCAGGUAAUCAGGCACAGGUGUAGCAAGCAAGGAGGGGAAGUAACGACAGCAGACAGACACAUGAGGGAAAGUGAACAAAAUAAAACAGGAAAGGACAGAUGAAACAGAAAAGACAGACAACAUCCAGACAGUCUGGGAGCAGACAUGACA